This 253-nucleotide ribosomal RNA is filed under the name uncultured bacterium. RNAcentral describes it as "partial 16S ribosomal RNA". It matches the Rfam family "Bacterial small subunit ribosomal RNA", at positions 524 to 776 of the family's 1533-position model. The record is from RNAcentral.
UACGGAGGGUGCGAGCGUUGUCCGGAAUCACUGGGCGUAAAGGGCGCGUAGGCGGUGGGGGUAGUCCGUGGUGAAAGCUCGUGGCUCAACUGCGAGUCGGCCAUGGAUACUCCUUCACUCGAGCACUGUAGAGGCAGGUGGAAUUCCGGGAGUAGCGGUGGAAUGCGUAGAGAUCCGGAAGAACACCGGUGGCGAAGGCGGCCUGCUGGGCAGUAGCUGACGCUGAGGCGCGACAGCGUGGGGAGCAAACAGG